CAAAGAGCUGCUGUUCUGCGGCCGGCAUCGCCUCCCCUCCCUCCUGGGCCGCUGCCCCAGCUCAGCCUCAGUCUCAACUAAGCUACACUACUCCAAGGGUGAGAUUCAGAGCACGUUUGCCUUGGGCGUGGAGGAGCGUCGUUUUCACAUCAGCAUCCGGUUGGUAGCUGCUACGGCCAGUCUCGCUAACUUCAUGAAGCUGGAACAGACUUUCCUACAGGUGCAGCUCACCUGGAACGGAGGACAGCCUGUGACCCUGCAGCUCACCUGGGCCAACAGGUUCUCAGCACACAGCACCCCCUGGGACGGCUGCCUGGCCACCUCCCCGGGGCAGGAAACCUGGGGCCUGAACACCCUCUGGGCGUGCGGGGCCGUAACACAGACCCCAGACGUGUUCACUGAAUGGCUCGACCUGUCCUGGGGCCAGCAGCGCAUGAGGCAGAACUUGACAUACAAGAGGCAUCGGCCAUCUCAGCCAGACAAGAUCACCGUGGGGGCCAUGCUGGAGCACGUCCUCGGGGCUUCUUGUGCCCGGCAGAGCUUCUGGGGAGAAGUACAGACUGACUACGCACACUGGCUGCGGCACUCCCUCCGCCCGGGGCUCCGUGACCUGCCCAGGGGAGUCCCAGCCUCUUCUCCGUCCUCACAGUCCAGGACCGCAGCAGCUGCCUCUCAGGUGCAAGCCCGGCUGGAAGACAAGGUACAACCGGCAGGCACCCUGGAUGGUGUGGCAGGCCGCCUCCUGCGACUGUCCCAGGCAGGGCUGGAGGCCGUGCAGGUGGCCCACUGCAUGCUGUCCUGGACUGAGGCCAUGUUCCCAUGGGCACUGAAGAGGCUCUGCAGACUCCUGCUGGACUUGUACGGCUUCACAGCCAGGUAACGCAGGGUUGGGAGUGGCGCGGCCGGCGUUCCUGCCACGUAUCAGGCGCAGUGCUGAAUGCUUCCACACGCUCUGACCCACUGACUCCUCUGACCGCGCUGCACAGAGGCUUCUUCACUCCCCAUUUCACAGAAGAGGAAGCUGAGGUUUCUCCCUCAUUCCACAGAGACCUCGUGAGCACAGCCCCAGUGCAGGCAGGAUUUUAGGAGCUGCUGCAGAGGAGCGCAGUGGGCGAGGCUGACCCCUGCCUUCAGGAAGCUCAGUUUUACUUAGACGUGAAGCACAAGAAAA
Molecule: long non-coding RNA, 1171 nt
Filed under: Saimiri boliviensis boliviensis (Bolivian squirrel monkey)
Lineage: Eukaryota; Metazoa; Chordata; Mammalia; Primates; Cebidae
Description: lncRNA (ENSSBOG00000036705.1)
Source: RNAcentral